Molecule: ribosomal RNA, 454 nt
Filed under: uncultured bacterium
Lineage: Bacteria
Description: bacterial SSU rRNA
Rfam family: Bacterial small subunit ribosomal RNA
Source: RNAcentral
CCCUACGGGGGGCAGCAGUGGGGAAUUUUGCGCAAUGGGCGAAAGCCUGACGCAGCAACGCCGCGUGGAGGAUGAAGGCCUUCGGGUCGUAAACUCCUGUCGAUGGGGACGAAAGCCCAGCAAUGGGUUUGACUGUACCCGUUGAGGAAGCCACGGCUAACUCCGUGCCAGCAGCCGCGGUAAUACGGAGGUGGCAAGCGUUGUUCGGAAUUACUGGGCGUAAAGGGCGCGUAGGCGGCAAGGCAAGUCAGAUGUGAAAGCCCCGGGCUUAACUCGGGAAUUGCAUCUGAAACUGCUUUGCUUGAGUCCUGGAGGGGGUAGUGGAAUUCCCAGUGUAGCGGUGAAAUGCGUAGAUAUUGGGAGGAACACCUGCGGCGAAGGCGGCUACCUGGACAGUGACUGACGCUGAGGCGCGAAAGCUAGGGGAGCGAACAGGAUUAGAUACCCCGGUAGC